AGGAUGAACGCUGGCGGCGUGCCUAACACAUGCAAGUCGAACGUCCUGUCUCGCAAGAGGCAGGGAGUGGCGGACGGGUGAGUACCACGUGGGUCAUCUACCGUGAGGUGAGGAAUACCGGCGAGAAAUCGCCGACAAGACCGCAUAGGCUCGAUGCAAGUCGAGCAAAGCUCUUUCGAGAGAGGGAGCGCCACACGAGGAGCCUGCGCCCGAUUAGCUAGCUGGUGGAGUAACGGUUCACCAGGGCGACGAUCGGUAGCUGGUCUGAGAGGACGAUCAGCCACACUGGGAUUGAGAACGGCCCAGACUCCUACGGGGGCAGCAGUGAGGAAUUUUCGUCAAUGGGGGCAACCCUGAACGAGCAACGCCGCGUGCAGGAAGAAGGUUUCGGAUCGUAAACUGCUUUCUCGGGAAGAGAAUGGACGGUACCGAGGAAUCAGCCCGGCUAACUACGCGCCAGCAGCCGCGGU
This 470-nucleotide ribosomal RNA is filed under the name uncultured bacterium. RNAcentral describes it as "SSU rRNA". It matches the Rfam family "Bacterial small subunit ribosomal RNA", at positions 26 to 521 of the family's 1533-position model. The record is from RNAcentral.